Molecule: unclassified non-coding RNA, 250 nt
Filed under: Hevea brasiliensis (rubber tree)
Lineage: Eukaryota; Viridiplantae; Streptophyta; Magnoliopsida; Malpighiales; Euphorbiaceae
Source: RNAcentral
GUGGUAUUAGCAUGGGCAUUCAGAGUGUGGUGGAUGAGAACAAUGAUAAAUCAUCUAAUAUUGCUCGUGAUUCUAUGUGUUCUGCCUGUGAGAUGACAGUUGUUUGGAUGCAGAACCAGCUAAGGCAGAAUCGAACAGAAGAUUAUAUACUGAACUAUGUCAAUGAGCUCUGUGAUCGAAUUCCGAACCCAAUGGGACAAUCAGCUGUUGACUGUGGAAGUCUCUCUUCAAUGCCUACUGUUUCCUUCAC